Molecule: long non-coding RNA, 733 nt
Organism: Clupea harengus (Atlantic herring)
Lineage: Eukaryota; Metazoa; Chordata; Actinopteri; Clupeiformes; Clupeidae
Exons: 2
Source: RefSeq, a predicted model, not a curated record
CAGACAUCGGUUCGUGCCGGUAGCAUUCACCAUCUAAGCCAGUAACCUACAUUCCGGCAGCCGGCUCCUUAAUCUCCCACUGCCACACUGGACUGGGGAACCUUCCUGGUAUGAAUCUUUUACAUUCUCAUGUUGGCUAUUACUCAAAUGUGCAGUUAGCUUCUCAACCUUAAAAUUGAACUGAAUGUGUAACAGCGCACCCCAAAUUUGGUUAUUUUGGUUUAAUUUGCAAUCCGUGUGUAACCGGCAGAAUUACUGUCCUGUCUCCCAGCAGCCACCGUAGCUUCUGUCCAGGUGUGCCACGGCCCCAAGUAGCACUCAGUGGCUCUUCAUUCAUUAGCCAAAGUGCCACUACUACAGGCUCACCAGAACAACGGAGAGUCUUGCAACUGUCUACGGGACAGGUCGCUGGAUCUGACUCCUCCUCUUCGCGCACUGCAUGCCGUAUUAUGAGUGGUGACGUGCACCUCACCAUUUGCAUUGAUCCCUUUUUGCAGUGCCUGUGCUGUGUUGUGUGCAGGACGUGUGAGUAGGCACCAGAAUCAAGAGCACGGGUGGCGUGUCGGUCUCACUCCUUUUCCAGGACGGGUAACCCCCUGCAACAACUGCUCCCUAUAAACCCCAUCAGUGUCCCCUACCAUUCUGGUGGCAGCCAUUAUCCUCCCUCUUGCCGUAUUCCAUAUUUUAUUGUGAUUUAGCCAUGUUUAAAUAAAUAUAAAUUUUUCUAUUCUUA